AUUGAACGCUGGCGGCAGGCCUAACACAUGCAAGUCGAACGAGUGGCGGACGGGUGAGUAAUGUCUGGGAAACUGCCUGAUGGAGGGGGAUAACUACUGGAAACGGUAGCCAAUACCGCAUUCCAUCAGAUGUGCCCAGAUGGGAUUAGCUUGUUGGUGGGGUAACGGCUCACCAGGGCGACGAUCCCUAGCUGGUCCGAGAGGAUGACCAGCACGACUGGAACUGAGACACGGUCCAGACUCCUACGUGAGGCAGCGGUGGGGAAUAUUGCACAAUGGACGAAAGCCUGAUGCAGCCAUGCCGGGUGUAUGAGAAAGGCCUUGGGGUUGUAAAGUACUUUCAGCGGGGAGGCGUUACCCGCAGAAGAAGCACCGGCUAACUCCGUGCCAGCAGCCGCGGUAAUAC
Molecule: ribosomal RNA, 406 nt
Filed under: uncultured bacterium
Lineage: Bacteria
Description: partial 16S ribosomal RNA
Rfam family: Bacterial small subunit ribosomal RNA
Source: RNAcentral